UAUUAGUGUAUACAUUUUGGGGGAUACCUUAUAUGUAGCCAAAUUGAAUAAAGAUUACCAAUAGAUUUCCGUCAGUUUUAUUCAGAUCCUUAAAUGCUUUGAUUUCAAAUUGAGUGAAAAACCUAUUCUGGAUUGUCUCGUAGGCAAAAUGGAGGAAUGUGUUAAUGUAUUGGGGAAUAUAUGAUAGACUGCAAUUCUAUUAAAAAUGCAAAGCCAUGCCCAGUGUUUUGACUAGUGAUAGGAAGACUUAUCUUUUAGACUUCUGCCUUCUGUGCCAGUUUGUCCAUUUCGGUCUGGGAAGGCUGUGAGUCUUAGUAUAGCUUAGCUUUAGCUGCCUGACCCUCCUCCUGGCUCCCAAUUGCUCAUUUCCUCCUUGUUGCCUUCCACUUCCUCCCAUCCAUUUACUUGUAUCCAGUCACUGGUCAGAUUAAGCAGCCGUUCUCAGUGCUCCAUGUUUGUCUGGUGUAGGUUCUUCACCGGCUUAUUAAAUGACUACCAAAACCACUCUUUUCCUGAUCCCCUCACAGGCUGUUCAUUGUGAUUAUUCCCCUGUGUUUAGAGUACACCCCCCAGAGGUUAUUUAACAGAGCACCUGUUAAGGUGCUCUGGGCCCAGCAAUUAUGGCUCUUUUCCCUUCCAAGCUAGUAGGCCAUCCUCCUGUCUUCAAGAAAGACCCCCUGCUCCCUGUUGGGCCUCUGUUUGGGGCUGUCAGGAACUUUUCUUAAGUUGUUUGAGAAUACAAGUCCGCCUGAAGUGAAGAAAAACAGCAUGGUGGGAAUGACUCUGCAUAAAAAGGCGGCUGAAGAUAGACUUGCUAGUACAGGUUCAGGGCAGUCAUUUCUGGCUAGGCAACGACAAGCAACCAGCACGAGAAGAUCUUACCCAGGCCAUGUUCAACCAGCCACAGCAAGGUAGACAAGUCUUGCCAGUAGAAUAAAAACAUCCUGCAUUCAAAACAUACUUCUGUUACACAUAACACCAUUUCAGGAAAUUCAGCCAGCUUAUUUUUUGUCUCUAUGUUAUGUUAAUAUUUAGUUGUUUCUCAUUUGAGGACUGUCUCUCCGUUAUCUAUGAUGUUUUAGUUUCUUGGUCCUUUAUUUUGUAGUCUUUUCAGUUCCUUUUCAUGUGCCAAAAAUUUUUCAAUGCCCAAUUAAAAGUGUUGGAUAAUAGUAUAGUACUUUUCUUUGUAUGAAAAUGUCCUUUCCCCAAUGGUGUAUGUAGGCUUUGUAAUGAAUUAGAUUUUCUGCCAAUAAUUGAUAUACAAGAAUUAUAUUCUU
Molecule: long non-coding RNA, 1277 nt
Organism: Myotis davidii
Lineage: Eukaryota; Metazoa; Chordata; Mammalia; Chiroptera; Vespertilionidae
Exons: 2
Source: RefSeq, a predicted model, not a curated record